This 253-nucleotide ribosomal RNA is filed under the name uncultured bacterium. RNAcentral describes it as "partial 16S ribosomal RNA". It matches the Rfam family "Bacterial small subunit ribosomal RNA", at positions 524 to 776 of the family's 1533-position model. The record is from RNAcentral.
UACAGAGGUCUCAAGCGUUGUUCGGAUUCAUUGGGCGUAAAGGGUGCGUAGGCGGCGCGGUAAGUCGGGUGUGAAAUCUCGGAGCUUAACUCCGAAACUGCAUUCGAUACUGCCGUGCUUGAGGACUGGAGAGGAGACUGGAAUUUACGGUGUAGCGGUGAAAUGCGCAGAUAUCAGGAGGAACACCGGUGGCGAAGGCGGGACUCUGGGCCGAUACUGACGCUGAGGAGCGAAAGCGUGGGGAGCAAACAGG